GACGAACGCUGGCGGCGUGCCUAAUACAUGCAAGUAGAACGCUGAAGAGAGGAGCUUGCUCUUCUUGGAUGAGUUGCGAACGGGUGAGUAACGCGUAGGUAACCUGCCUGGUAGCGGGGGAUAACUAUUGGAAACGAUAGCUAAUACCGCAUAAAAUUGAUUAUUGCAUGAUAAUUAAUUGAAAGAUGCAAUUGCAUCACUACCAGAUGGACCUGCGUUGUAUUAGCUAGUUGGUGAGGUAACGGCUCACCAAGGCGACGAUACAUAGCCGACCUGAGAGGGUGAUCGGCCACACUGGGACUGAGACACGGCCCAGACUCCUACGGGAGGCAGCAGUAGGGAAUCUUCGGCAAUGGGGGGAAACCCCUGACCCGAGCAACGCCCGCGGUG
This 390-nucleotide ribosomal RNA is filed under the name Streptococcus sanguinis. RNAcentral describes it as "bacterial SSU rRNA". It matches the Rfam family "Bacterial small subunit ribosomal RNA", at positions 28 to 404 of the family's 1533-position model. Lineage: Bacteria; Bacillati; Bacillota; Bacilli; Lactobacillales; Streptococcaceae. The record is from RNAcentral.